This 73-nucleotide transfer RNA is filed under the name Myotis davidii. It matches the Rfam family "tRNA". Rfam says of the family: Transfer RNA (tRNA) molecules are approximately 80 nucleotides in length. Their secondary structure includes four short double-helical elements and three loops (D, anti-codon, and T loops). Lineage: Eukaryota; Metazoa; Chordata; Mammalia; Chiroptera; Vespertilionidae. The record is from Rfam by way of RNAcentral.
GCUGGUGUGGCUCAGUGGAGAGAGCGUCAGCCUGUGGACUGAAGGAUCCCUGGUUCAAUUCCAGUCAAGGGCA